Molecule: non-coding RNA, 874 nt
Filed under: Pongo abelii (Sumatran orangutan)
Lineage: Eukaryota; Metazoa; Chordata; Mammalia; Primates; Hominidae
Source: RNAcentral
GAAGGCGGCUAGAGAUACAAAACCACCCAGCUCUGCAUCCUGAGACAAAGAAGCCUUUCACUGGGCUCGUAUGUUAGAGGAGGAUUGCAAGCUCUUUGCCGAAGGAUCACAACUUAUAUCCUUCCUUCUGGUACUACUAGGAAACUUCGCAGUUCAAUAAGAAGCAUUGUCUCAAACUAAAUCAUUGCUUGUUGAAUGAGCACAGACUCCAGGGCAACAUGCACCGGGGUUCCAUGACAGAUGAGACCUAGCCUGUCCCCAGGUAGCAACGAAAGACUGAAAUGAUUUAAAAGCAACCAAGAAAGGGUCACAAGGCAUUAAUACAGCCACCUGGCAAAGAGCAUAUCUGGAGACAGACGUUGACAGCCCCGUGUGGACAUUAGUUCUAUAGGAUGUUGUAAGAGGAACGAAUCCAGGCAGGGUGGGGAGGAGGUGGGAAGUGAGCCCGGCCCUGAAGGUGGGCAAGAGCCAGGCAAGAAGAGGAGAAAGAUUGUUCUCAUGGUGGGAGGAAUGCAAGGCCACCUAUGGAAAUACAAGUGGAGCAGUUUGGCUGGAGAAAGAGGUUGUGUUUGCUUAUGGAGGCCUUGGAUGCCCAGUUGGGAGAAUGGACCUCACUUUCUGGGGCUGACUGUGUUGCGAUUUUUCUCUUGAGCCAUGCCUGGAACACGGUUUGUAUUCAACAGCAACUCACAAACUGACAGUUCCCUGCAAGGCUGUCAUAUGCCACUUGCUUUACAGAAACACCUCGCUUAUUUUAAGCCUGAAAACAAAGCCACAGGGCGAGUAUUAUUCUCAUUCCUAUGCUACAGAUAAGAAAAUUGAGGUUUCAAAAGAUGGAAGAAUGAGGUUAAAGUCCCACGGCUAGUAAGUGGCA